UUUGACUCCAUUGUAUUGGACUUUUGUGUACUUUGGAUAUUUAGUUGGGAUUGAUAGCUCAUUCUUUUUAUGCAAACCAUUCUUGACAAUUUUAGACAACAUGAGAUAUUCCGAAAAUUUGAUGGAUCAGGCCCUAAUAAACUGUAGUAAACACUUGUGAACUUGAGUAGUACACCUAAAAUUCAAGCAGUACCAUGUUGUGGUGGAGGUAUUAGUACUCUGAGAAAGUCAUACUAUUUUAUGCACACUACACUUUCAUAUUUUCCUUGCUUUGAAAGUUGCCGUAUAUUAAUUAAUUACAUGUGUAUUAGCUUAGGCUUUAUUUCAUAUUUUUAGGAUCUCGUGUCAUA
This 350-nucleotide long non-coding RNA is filed under the name Phoenix dactylifera (date palm). RNAcentral's name for it is "long non-coding RNA (PDAC_LNC010694)". The record is from RNAcentral. Lineage: Eukaryota; Viridiplantae; Streptophyta; Magnoliopsida; Arecales; Arecaceae.